CCCUGCAGCUCACAACUGGCAACCCACUGAAGCUAAGCAGAUGUGAGCCUGGUCAGUACCUGGAUAGGAGACCUCCUGGGAAAAACUAAGGUUGCUGCUGGAA
This 103-nucleotide ribosomal RNA is filed under the name Lepisosteus oculatus (spotted gar). The record is from RNAcentral. Lineage: Eukaryota; Metazoa; Chordata; Actinopteri; Semionotiformes; Lepisosteidae.